Molecule: non-coding RNA, 73 nt
Organism: Ictidomys tridecemlineatus (thirteen-lined ground squirrel)
Lineage: Eukaryota; Metazoa; Chordata; Mammalia; Rodentia; Sciuridae
Source: Rfam
GGGGAUAUAGCUCAGUUGGUAGAGUGCUUGCCUCUCAUGCACAAAGCCCCGAGUUCAAUACCCAGCACCCCCC